Molecule: ribosomal RNA, 3113 nt
Filed under: human oral metagenome
Description: bacterial LSU rRNA
Rfam family: Bacterial large subunit ribosomal RNA
Source: RNAcentral
AGGGCACACAAUGGAUGCCUAGACGUAUAUUACCGAUGAAGGACGUGGAAGACUGCGAUAAGCUUCGGGAAGCUGUCAACAAGCUUUGAUCCGGAGAUCUCCGAAUGGGGAAACCCAGCAUGAGUCAUGUCAUGUUGCCACUUGCUGAACACAUAGGCAAGCGAGCGGGAACCAUCUGAACUGAAACAUCUUAGUAGGAUGAGGAAGAGAAAGUAAAUAACGAUUGCGAAAGUAGUGGCGAGCGAAAUCGCAACAGCCCAAACCUUUUAAGUUUUUGCCUAUUAAUUUAGGCAAAUAAGUUGAUAGACGAAUACUUAUAAGGGGUUGUGAUAUUACAUAUGACCAAGUCAGAGAAUUUGAUUCAUUCAAAUAAUCUGAUUUGCGAUAACUGGCUAUCAACAGUUAGUAAGGUAAGAAAUCGGCGUGGUUAGUAGAAUAGUUUGAAUGACUAGCCAAAGAACGUGAAAGCCGUGUAUAUGAAAACGACGCUGACCUUAUGUAUGUUUUAUCGAGUAGGACGGGGCACGAGAAACCCUGUUUGAAUCUGGCUGGACCACCAGCCAAGGCUAAAUAUAAUAUACGAUCGAUAGUGAACUAGUACAGCGAUGGAAAGGUGAAAAGAACCCCGGGAGGGGAGUGAAAUAGAACCUGAAAUUGUGUGCCUACAAGGAGUCGGAGCCGGCUUGUCCGGUGACGGCGUGCUUUUUGUAGAACGAUCCAGCGAGUUAAUUUCAUGCGCCAGGUUAAGUCAAGUGACGGAGCCACAGUGAAAGCGAGCCUGAAUAGGGCGAUAAGUGUAUGGGAUUAGACCCGAAACCGGGUGACCUAACCAUGAGCAGGUUGAAGCUGCGGUAACACGCAGUGAAGGACCGAACCAGUUUGCGCAGUAAAGCAUUUGGAUGACUUGUGGUUAGCGGUGAAAUGCCAAUCGAACUCGGAGAUAGCUGGUUCUCCUCGAAAUAGCUUUAGGGCUAGCGUCAUGUAAUAUAGCCAACGGGGGUAGAGCUCUGUAAACGACUGGGGCGGGCAACUGUACCCACCGUUAACAAACUACGAAUACCGUUGGUGGUACCAUGGCAGUUAGAACAUCGGGGCUAAGCUCGGUGCUCAAAAGGGAAACAGCCCAGACCAUCAUCUAAGGUCCCUAAAUUAACACUAAGUGGGAAACAAGGUGAAAUUUCUUAAACAGCGAGGAUGUUGGCUUAGAAGCAGCCAUUCAUUUAAAGAGUGCGUAACAGCUCACUCGUCAAGAGAUUUUGCGUGGAAAAUGUAACGGGGCUAAAGUGUUAUACCGAAGAUAUGGAUUUCGUUAUUCCUACGGGUUUAACGGAGUGGUAGAGGAGCGUUCCUAUCGGCAGUGAAGCUCAAUCGUAAGGUUGGGUGGAGCGUUAGGAAGUGAGAAUGCUGGAAUGAGUAACCAUAAGAAAGGUGAGAAUCCUUUCGGCCGUAAGAGCGAGGUUUCCAGGGCUACUGUAAUAAUCCCUGGGUUAGUCGGGCCUAAGCCGAGGCGUAGCAGCGUAGGCGAUGGACAUCAGGUUAAUAUUCCUGAACCGGUUAUAAUUUGUAUACUGUGUACGGUAAAUUAGUCGAAGCGGAUUAUUGGUAUAUAUCCGUCCAACUUAGCGGGAACGCAAAAGGAGUGAAAGUUAAUCUACGGAUUAAUGAUUUUGAUGAAAGUACUGGCUAGAAAAGCAGAUAUACGCGUGGUUAUAGCCGCCCGUACCGCAAACCAACACAGGUGCUCGAGUCGAGUAGACUCAGGCUUACGAGCGAACCUUCGCUAAGGAACUCGGCAAUACAGCGACCGUAACUUCGGGAUAAGGUCUGCCCCCACUUCGGUGGAUAUCAGCCGCGUUCACUCAGUGAAUAUUAGGUUAAAGAGUACAUUUUUAAUCACAAAACGAAUUUUCUGAGAUAGAGCAAACGAAUUGUUCUUUUGAACGCGAACCUCUGACAUCUAACGAUGUGGGGGCCGCAGCAAAAGAGCCCACGGAACUGUUUAUCAAAAACACAGGUCUCUGCUAACACGAAAGUGGAUGUAUAGGGGCUGACUCCUGCCCAGUGCUGGAAGGUUAAGGGGAGUGCUUUACGGUGCGAACUGAAGCCCCAGUGAACGGCGGCGGUAACUAUAACCGUCCUAAGGUAGCGAAAUUCCUUGUCAGGUAAGUUCUGACCCGCACGAAUGGAGUAAUCAUGUGGGCACUGUCUCAGCGAAGGACUCGGUGAAAGUGCAUUGGCGGUAAAGAUGCCGUCUGUCCGUACCAGGACGAAAAGACCCCAUGGAGCUUUACUACAGCUUUACAUUGAAUAUGGUUUCAACAUGUGUAGCAUAGGUGGGAGACUUUGAAGCAGAUACGCCAGUAUUUGUGGAGUCACCAAGUGAAAUACCACCCUUGUUGUGAUUGUGUUCUCACGCUGACCGUUAUCCGGUUAGCGGACCGUGUAUGGUGGGUAGUUUAACUGGGGCGGUUGCCUCCUAAAGAGUAGCGGAGGCGUUCAAAGGUUGGCUAACUUCGGAUGGAAAUCGAAGUGAUAGUGCAUGCGCAAAAGCCAGCUUGACUGCGAGAAUUACAAUUCGACCAGAGUGGAAACACGGAGCAAGUGACCCGCUGUAAGAACAUUGUUCAUUGAAUGUGGGAUCGACAGCGCACACGGAUAAAAGUUACCCUGGGGAUAACAGGCUUAUCGCGCCCAAUAGUUCACAUAGACGGCGCGGUUUGGCACCUCGAUGUCGGCUCAUCACAUCCUGGAGGGGGAGCACCUUCCAAGGGUUCGGCUGUUCGCCGAUUAAAGUGGUACGCGAGCUGGGUUCAGAACGUCGUGAGACAGUUCGGUUUAUAUCCGGCAUGGACGUAAGGAUUCUUGAGGAGAUUUGUCUCUAGUACGAGAGGACCGAGAUGAACGAACCUCUGGUGUAUCGAUUGUGGCCACCUGCUGCAGUGUCGAGUAGCUAUGUUCGGUUAAGAUAAGCGCUGAAAGCAUAUUAAGCGCGAAACUGACUCCAAGAUUAGGAAUCCCAUGAGGACACAGAAAGAUGAUCUGUUUGAUAGGCGCAAGGUGUAAACCUGGUAACAGGCUAGCCAAAGCGUACUAAUAGUCCAAUCGCCUUUUUA